Molecule: long non-coding RNA, 948 nt
Organism: Salvia miltiorrhiza (redroot sage)
Lineage: Eukaryota; Viridiplantae; Streptophyta; Magnoliopsida; Lamiales; Lamiaceae
Exons: 2
Source: RefSeq, a predicted model, not a curated record
AAAGUCAUGUUAUUUAUUAAUCGAAAAACAGAAGCAGUUAUAUUUUAUUAGUACUACUUGAAGUCGAGAAAUUAUUCUGACUGCCACGCAGAUUAAAUCUACGGAUUUAAUCUAGAUAUUAAAUGGCUUGUGAAGUGAAUUAAAUCUAUGUAUUUAAUUUAUACACGAAUAAUGAGCAGAAGCCAGUAUUUGAUUGCAAACACGCGAUUAAAUAGUAGAUGCACUGAGUAACCAAGACACAAAGAUUUAUUAUUAUUUACAAUUAGAACUUCAACCACCACUAUCAAUCAAUGCAGUAAUUGAUUUUUUUUUUCUGAGUACAAGAAGAAAUCUUUGCAUAUAAGUUCACCACUGGCAGCAAGAGUGACGCAGUACAUUUGGGUAAAAAAAUAAAACUCUCGAAUUUGCUGGCUUUAGGAGGAAGAUCAUGCUUAAGACAAUCAUCUUCCACUAUCUAAUUAUUUAUCAACCACUACCUCCACUUAACAAAAAUGAGACCUACGCACUAGCCUGCACCACCACCCUUUUUCUCCACCAAACUUUCCACUUACUUCAUUCCUUCUCUCAUACACCAAGCACCAGAAAGGGAGAUGAAGUUCCUGCUGCCAACUGCCAAGUAUCGAGAGUUUCUUCUCCAUUGAAUUCAUUAUCAACAACAGCAGCUACCAACACAAAAUACUCAAGGUCAAGCGCAAGAAUAAGAACUACACAAGGAGUUAGAGUACCUUAGCAAAACUUUGCUAUCAGGUUGAGCUGUGAUGGGCGAUGAAGUGUUGUUGCUGAGUAGAGUUUUUGUCGAACUUAAAGUAGGCUCAGAAAGGAUACAUGUCUUCAUACAUGUAUCUCAGUUAUGCAUUCCGCUGUAAACACUGAUUAUUUCAGUUACACCUUCCGUUGCAAACUCUGAUAAUGUUUUAGCCAAGCCCCUAACGAUGCCUUUUUCCUUUU